UACGUAGGGUGCAAGCGUUGUCCGGAAUUAUUGGGCGUAAAGAGCUCGUAGGCGGUUUGUCGCGUCUGCUGUGAAAACCCGAGGCUCAACCUCGGGCCUGCAGUGGGUACGGGCAGACUAGAGUGCGGUAGGGGAGAUUGGAAUUCCUGGUGGAGCGGUGAAAUGCGCAGAGAUCAGGAGGAACACCCGUAGCGAAGGCGGCACUCUGGGCCGAUACUGACACUGAGGAGCGAAAGCGUGGGGAGCGAACAGG
Molecule: ribosomal RNA, 253 nt
Filed under: uncultured bacterium
Lineage: Bacteria
Description: partial 16S ribosomal RNA
Rfam family: Bacterial small subunit ribosomal RNA
Source: RNAcentral